GGCCGGGUCCCACGCAAUGGUUCUCCAUGAACUCCGUCAGGACCGGAAGGUAGCAGCGGUAAGUGGGCGGGAUCAUGUGACGUGGUCAAGCCUGGCCGCC
RNAcentral lists this signal recognition particle RNA (100 nucleotides) under Candidatus Krumholzibacteriia bacterium. RNAcentral's name for it is "Candidatus Krumholzibacteria bacterium Bacterial small signal recognition particle RNA". It matches the Rfam family "Bacterial small signal recognition particle RNA". Rfam says of the family: The signal recognition particle (SRP) is a universally conserved ribonucleoprotein involved in the co-translational targeting of proteins to membranes. Archaeal SRP consists of a 7S RNA and homologues of the eukaryotic SRP19 and SRP54 proteins. Lineage: Bacteria; Candidatus Krumholzibacteriota; Candidatus Krumholzibacteriia. The record is from Rfam by way of RNAcentral.